GGGGCUGUAGCUCAGCUGGGAGAGCGCUUGAAUGGCAUUCAAGAGGUCAGGGGUUCGAUCCCCCUCAGCUCCACCA
Molecule: transfer RNA, 76 nt
Filed under: Deltaproteobacteria bacterium RBG_16_54_11
Lineage: Bacteria; Deltaproteobacteria
Also listed under: 11 other names
Description: tRNA-Ala
Rfam family: tRNA
About the family: Transfer RNA (tRNA) molecules are approximately 80 nucleotides in length. Their secondary structure includes four short double-helical elements and three loops (D, anti-codon, and T loops).
Source: RNAcentral